Molecule: small RNA, 28 nt
Filed under: Bombyx mori (domestic silkworm)
Lineage: Eukaryota; Metazoa; Arthropoda; Insecta; Lepidoptera; Bombycidae
Description: ovarian small RNA-31490
Source: RNAcentral
UGACAUUGUAUACAUGCCUUAGCCCAAG